This 166-nucleotide ribosomal RNA is filed under the name uncultured Streptococcus sp. RNAcentral describes it as "partial 16S ribosomal RNA". It matches the Rfam family "Bacterial small subunit ribosomal RNA", at positions 1216 to 1382 of the family's 1533-position model. The record is from RNAcentral. Lineage: Bacteria; Bacillati; Bacillota; Bacilli; Lactobacillales; Streptococcaceae.
ACAACGUGCUACAAUGGUUGGUACAACGAGUUGCGAGUCGGUGACGGCGAGCUAAUCUCUUAAAGCCAAUCUCAGUUCGGAUUGUAGGCUGCAACUCGCCUACAUGAAGUCGGAAUCGCUAGUAAUCGCGGAUCAGCACGCCGCGGUGAAUACGUUCCCGGGCCUU